UACGAGGGGUCCUAGCGUUGUUCGGAAUUACUGGGCGUAAAGCGUGCGCAGGCGGUUGUGUAAGACAGGUGUGAAAUCCCCGGGCUUAACCUGGGAAUUGCAUUUGUGACUGCACGGCUAGAGUGUGUCAGAGGGGGGUAGAAUUCCACGUGUAGCAGUGAAAUGCGUAGAUAUGUGGAGGAAUACCGAUGGCGAAGGCAGCCCCCUGGGAUAACACUGACGCUCAUGCACGAAAGCGUGGGGAGCAAACAGG
This 253-nucleotide ribosomal RNA is filed under the name uncultured bacterium. Its description in RNAcentral is "partial 16S ribosomal RNA". It matches the Rfam family "Bacterial small subunit ribosomal RNA", at positions 524 to 776 of the family's 1533-position model. The record is from RNAcentral.